Quercus lobata is the source of this 400-nucleotide long non-coding RNA. RefSeq lists it as uncharacterized. The record is from RefSeq and is a predicted model, not a curated record. NCBI's taxonomy places the organism in Eukaryota, Viridiplantae, Streptophyta, Magnoliopsida, Fagales, Fagaceae. The transcript has 2 exons.
GAUUUCAAUCCUAAAACUACACCUGGAGCAGAACUAUAACUUUUCAGAUAAUCCGUUUAUCAAAAAAACACUUUUCAGAUAAGCCAUCUUCUGCAUUGCCAAUACAAACUCUUCACUUUUCAUAUCAAAUGGCAGAAACAACCAUAAAUCCGGGGAUUAAGAGGAUUGCAGUUGUAACCGGAGGCAAUAAAGGGAUCGGAUUUGAGAUAUGUAGACAGUUAGCUUCAAAUGGGGUCAGGGUGGUUUUAACUGCUAGAGAUGUAAGGAAGGGCAAUGAAGCAAUUGAAAAACUCAAGGCUGCAGGAUGCUCUGAUGUGGUUUUUCAUCAACUAGAUGUGAUGGACCCAACUACCAUUUCUUCUUUGGCAGAUUUCAUCAAAACCCACUUUGGGAAGCUUGA